This 344-nucleotide long non-coding RNA is filed under the name Pan troglodytes (chimpanzee). RNAcentral describes it as "long non-coding RNA NONPTRT018253". The record is from RNAcentral. Lineage: Eukaryota; Metazoa; Chordata; Mammalia; Primates; Hominidae.
AUCACCAUCAGGCAUAUUAUAUAUUUGUUUUUUAUUUCAGCCCCACCAGGGCAAGAACUGUUAUUUUGUUUUACAGUUUUAUCUCCACCACCUAGAAUGGUAUCUGGCACACAGCAGGCACUCAAUAAAUGUUUCUUGAAGCAAUGAAUAAUAGUACUGCCAGUGGACAUUCGCUCUGUCCCCCGCACCCAGCACUGUGACCCGGAGCACUUCCCCUUCCCUGCCCCAGCCAAUGCCCCCCUACAGCGCAUCCGCUCCACGUCCACUCCCAACGUCCAUAUGGUCAGCACCACGGCCCCCAUGGACUCCAACCUCAUCCAGCUCACUGGCCAGAGUUUCAGCAC